This 253-nucleotide ribosomal RNA is filed under the name uncultured bacterium. Its description in RNAcentral is "partial 16S ribosomal RNA". It matches the Rfam family "Bacterial small subunit ribosomal RNA", at positions 524 to 776 of the family's 1533-position model. The record is from RNAcentral.
GACAGAGGGUGCAAACGUUGUUCGGAAUUACUGGGCGUAAAGCGUGUGUAGGCGGUCCACUAAGUCGGGUGUGAAAGCCCUGGGCUCAACCCAGGAAGUGCACUCGAAACUGGUGGGCUAGAGUAUCGGAGAGGUUGGUGGAAUUCUCGGUGUAGAGGUGAAAUUCGUAGAUAUCGAGAGGAACACCGGUGGCGAAGGCGGCCAACUGGACGAAUACUGACGCUGAGACACGAAAGAGUGGGGAGCAAACAGG